Molecule: ribosomal RNA, 305 nt
Filed under: uncultured eukaryote
Lineage: Eukaryota
Description: partial large subunit ribosomal RNA
Rfam family: Eukaryotic large subunit ribosomal RNA
Source: RNAcentral
GUAUUAAUAAGCGGAGGAAAAGAAACUAACAAGGAUUCCCCUAGUAACGGCGAGUGAAGCGGGAAGAGCUCAAAUUUAAAAUCUCCUCGGAGAAUUGUAGUUUAUGAAGGCGUUAUCGAUGAAGGUCUGGGUACAAGUUCUUUGGAACAAGGCAUCAUAGAGGGUGAGAAUCCCGUCUUUGACCCAGCUACCUUCACACUACGAUACGUCUUUUAAGAGUCGGGUUGUUUGGGAUUGCAGCCCUAAAUUGGUGGUAUAUUCCAUCUAAAGCUAAAUAUUGGCCAGAGACCGAUAGCGCACAAGUA